RNAcentral lists this transfer RNA (71 nucleotides) under Camelus ferus (Wild Bactrian camel). It matches the Rfam family "tRNA". From Rfam's summary of the family: Transfer RNA (tRNA) molecules are approximately 80 nucleotides in length. Their secondary structure includes four short double-helical elements and three loops (D, anti-codon, and T loops). The record is from Rfam by way of RNAcentral. Lineage: Eukaryota; Metazoa; Chordata; Mammalia; Artiodactyla; Camelidae.
GGCCAUAUAGCUCAGUGUAGAGCACAUGCUUAGCAGGCAGGAGGUCCUGGAUUCCAUCCCCAGUACCUCCA